CCUACGGGAGACAGCAGUGGGGGAUAUUGCACAAUGGGGGGAACCCUGAUGCAGCGACGCCGCGUGGGUGAAGAAGCGCCUCGGCGCGUAAAGCCCUGUCAGCAGGGAAGAAAAUGACGGUAUCUGACGAAGAAGCCCCGGCUAACUACGUGCCAGCAGCCGCGGUAAUACGUAGGGGGCAAGCGUUAUCCGGAUUUACUGGGGGUAAAGGGGGCGAAGACGGCGAUGCAAGCCAGGAGUGAAAGCCCGGGGCCCAACCCCGGGACUGCUCUUGGAACUGCGUGGCUGGAGUGCAGGAGGGGCAGGCGGAAUUCCUGGUGUAGCGGUGAAAUGCGUAGAUAUCAGGAGGAACACCGGUGGCGAAGGCGGCCUGCUGGACUGCAACUGACGUUGAGGCCCGAAAGCGUGGGGAGCAAACAGGAUUAGAUACCCCAGUAGUC
RNAcentral lists this ribosomal RNA (440 nucleotides) under uncultured bacterium. RNAcentral's name for it is "partial 16S ribosomal RNA". It matches the Rfam family "Bacterial small subunit ribosomal RNA", at positions 338 to 795 of the family's 1533-position model. The record is from RNAcentral.